AUUGAACGCUGGCGGCAGGCCUAACACAUGCAAGUCGAGCGGAUGAAGGGAGCUUGCUCCUGGAUUCAGCGGCGGACGGGUGAGUAAUGCCUAGGAAUCUGCCUGGUAGUGGGGGAUAACGUCCGGAAACGGGCGCUAAUACCGCAUACGUCCUGAGGGGGAAAGUGGGGGAUCUUCGGACCUCACGCUAUCAGAUGAGCCUAGGUCGGAUUAGCUAGUUGGUGGGGUAAAGGCCUACCAAGGCGACGAUCCGUAACUGGUCUGAGAGGAUGAUCAGUCACACUGGAACUGAGACACGGUCCAGACUCCUACGGGAGGCAGCAGUGGGGAAUAUUGGACAAUGGGCGAAAGCCUGAUCCAGCCAUGCCGCGUGUGUGAAGAAGGUCUUCGGAUUGUAAAGCACUUUAAGUUGGGAGGAAGGGCAGUAAGUUAAUACCUUGCUGUUUUGACGUUACCAACAGAAUAAGCACCGGCUAACCUCGUG
RNAcentral lists this ribosomal RNA (484 nucleotides) under uncultured bacterium. RNAcentral describes it as "partial 16S ribosomal RNA". It matches the Rfam family "Bacterial small subunit ribosomal RNA", at positions 30 to 507 of the family's 1533-position model. The record is from RNAcentral.